CCAAAGGCUGUGAAAAGGAGCAGUAGCAGGCGGAUUCCCGUCACAGAGAGCCGGCGGUCGGUGCAAGCCGGACGGUUACGCUUGCGAACUCGCCUUGGAGCCGCAAAUGCGAAGGGAAGUAGCAUUUGCCGCAUCCCUGCGUUACGGGCAAUGAAGGGAACGCCGUCCCUGAAUAUUCAGGAGGCGUUAAUUUGGGUGGUACCGCGGGAGAUUCGCCUCCCGUCCCAAGG
Molecule: non-coding RNA, 230 nt
Filed under: Caldibacillus debilis
Lineage: Bacteria; Bacillati; Bacillota; Bacilli; Caryophanales; Bacillaceae
Description: T-box sequence
Rfam family: T-box leader
About the family: Uncharged tRNA acts as the effector for transcription antitermination of genes in the T-box leader family. T-boxes are found upstream of many aminoacyl-tRNA synthetase genes and some amino acid biosynthetic genes usually in Gram-positive bacteria.
Source: RNAcentral